GACGAACGCUGGCGGCGUGCUUAAUACAUGCAAGUCGAACGGAAAGGCGCUGCUCUUGCUGGUUGCUCGAGUGGCGAACGGGUGAGUAACACGUGAGUAACACGCACCUGUCUUUGGGAUAACUUUAGGGAACUGGGGCUAAUACCGGGUAGGAGCUCUUGCUGCAUGGUGGGGGAUGGUAAGUUCCGGCGGCUGUGGAUGGACUAGAGGCUUAUCGGCCUGUUGGUGGGGUUGUGGCGUACCAGGGCUUUGAAGGGUAGCCGGCCUGAGAGGGUGACCGGCCACAUUGGGACUGAGAUACGGCGCAGACUCCUACGGGAGGCAGCAGUGGGGAAUAUUGCACAAUGGGCGGAAGCCUGAUGCAGCAACGCCGCGUGCGGGAUGACGGCCUUCGGGUUGUAAACCGCUUUCGCCUGUGACGAAGCGUGAGUGACGGUAAUGGGUAAAGAAGCACCGGCUAACUACGUG
Molecule: ribosomal RNA, 468 nt
Filed under: uncultured bacterium
Lineage: Bacteria
Description: partial 16S ribosomal RNA
Rfam family: Bacterial small subunit ribosomal RNA
Source: RNAcentral